CUGAAAGGGGCUUAUGAGGACAGGGGUGUUCCAGGGUCCCUGUGGUCUUUCUCCUGCCCGUGAAGAGGGCUUCCUUUUGAAGCUGUGCUAGGAGCGGUAUCUUAGCCACACUGAGCUCUUCAUGCAUAGAAGAUAGCUCAUUUUCAGUUGGUUAUCUCCCCUCAUAACUUCUACCAGCUCUCCUACUUAACAAUCCCACACCCUUGGGGGAAAACAGGAACAGAAAAUAUAUGCAAAAUGGCCCUCCAUUUUGAUAGAGGUAUACGCAGUUGCUGACUUCAAUCUUUUUGCAGCAGCUCCCUGAGAGAAUCAAGAAUCAAGGAUGCCACAGAAGCCUGGGGACUGGGGCUCAGCACACACCGGAGACGAUGAAGGUGAAGAAGUUGAGACACUGACAUUCGUGAGGUCACUGAGGCAGAGAAGUAAACCCUGGGAGUCAGGAGACCUGGGUUCUGAUUCACUAUUUGACUUUGGGCAGCGUCGGUGGCUGCUUGAGGAAUGAAGACUGGAUUUUGUUUUAGCCAGCGCUGGACCAUGAAGGACAAGAAACCUAACAGCCCAUGCCCGAGUCUGUAUCCUUAAGCCACUGACAGGGGAGUUGGGAGAUUUAUAUUAUAAGGGCAGUUCCUUUCCAUAGCCUCCCUUCAUUAGCACUGACUGGGACUCCCCACAGAUAAUGCCCCCUCCAGAGUUUAACCUGCUUUUUCUUCUGGGAAAAGGA
Delphinapterus leucas (beluga whale) is the source of this 721-nucleotide non-coding RNA. The record is from RefSeq and is a predicted model, not a curated record. NCBI's taxonomy places the organism in Eukaryota, Metazoa, Chordata, Mammalia, Artiodactyla, Monodontidae.